GAGCACGUAGGUGGGUUUGUAAGUCAGCUGUGAAAGGCUUCUGCUUAGCGGAAGAACAGCAGUUGAAACUACAGUGCUUGAGUGCGGGAGGGGAGAGUGGAACUUCCGGUGGAGCGGUGAAAUGCGUAGAUAUCAGAAGGAACGCCGGCGGCGAAAGCGGCUCUCUGGCCCGUAACUGACGCUGAGUGUGCGAAAGCUAGGGGAGCAAACGGGAUUAGAUACCCCGGUAGUCCUAGCCGUAAACGAUGGGCACUAAGUAGAGGGGUUUU
RNAcentral lists this ribosomal RNA (269 nucleotides) under uncultured anaerobic ammonium-oxidizing bacterium. RNAcentral's name for it is "partial 16S ribosomal RNA". It matches the Rfam family "Bacterial small subunit ribosomal RNA", at positions 565 to 832 of the family's 1533-position model. The record is from RNAcentral.